RNAcentral lists this ribosomal RNA (497 nucleotides) under uncultured bacterium. RNAcentral describes it as "partial 16S ribosomal RNA". It matches the Rfam family "Bacterial small subunit ribosomal RNA", at positions 28 to 507 of the family's 1533-position model. The record is from RNAcentral.
GAUGAACGCUGGCGGCGUGCCUAAUACAUGCAAGUCGAGCGAACGGACGAGAAGCUUGCUUCUCUGAUGUUAGCGGCGGACGGGUGAGUAACACGUGGAUAACCUACCUAUAAGACUGGGAUAACUUCGGGAAACCGGAGCUAAUACCGGAUAAUAUUUUGAACCGCAUGGUUCAAAAGUGAAAGACGGUCUUGCUGUCACUUAUAGAUGGAUCCGCGCUGCAUUAGCUAGUUGGUAAGGUAACGGCUUACCAAGGCAACGAUGCAUAGCCGACCUGAGAGGGUGAUCGGCCACACUGGAACUGAGACACGGUCCAGACUCCUACGGGAGGCAGCAGUAGGGAAUCUUCCGCAAUGGGCGAAAGCCUGACGGAGCAACGCCGCGUGAGUGAUGAAGGUCUUCGGAUCGUAAAACUCUGUUAUUAGGGAAGAACAUAUGUGUAAGUAACUGUGCACAUCCUGACGGUACCUAAUCAGAAAGCCACGGCUAACUACGCG